AUUGAACGCUGGCGGCAUGCCUUACACAUGCAAGUCGAACGGUAACGGGCCUUCGGGUGCCGACGAGUGGCGAACGGGUGAGUAAUACAUCGGAACGUGCCCGAACGUGGGGGAUAACGAGGCGAAAGCUUUGCUAAUACCGCCUACGAUCUACGGAUGAAAGCAGGGGACCGCAAGGCCUUGCGCGGACGGAGCGGCCGAUGGCAGAUUAGCUAGUUGGUGGGAUACAAGCUUACCAAGCCGACGAUCUGUAGCUGGUCUGAGAGGAUGAUCAGCCACACUGGGACUGAGACACGGCCCAGACUCCUACGGGAGGCAGCAGUGGGGAAUUUUGGACAAUGGGCGCAAGCCUGAUCCAGCCAUGCCGCGUGCAGGAUGAAGGCCUUCUGGUUGUAAACUGCUUUUGUACGGAACGAAAAGCCUUCUUUUAAUACAGGAGGGUCAUGACGGUACCGUAAGAAUAAGCACCGGCUAACUACGUG
This 482-nucleotide ribosomal RNA is filed under the name uncultured bacterium. Its description in RNAcentral is "partial 16S ribosomal RNA". It matches the Rfam family "Bacterial small subunit ribosomal RNA", at positions 30 to 507 of the family's 1533-position model. The record is from RNAcentral.